Long non-coding RNA from Pteronotus mesoamericanus, 577 nucleotides. RefSeq lists it as uncharacterized. The transcript is spliced from 3 exons. The record is from RefSeq and is a predicted model, not a curated record. NCBI's taxonomy places the organism in Eukaryota, Metazoa, Chordata, Mammalia, Chiroptera, Mormoopidae.
GGCUUCUGUCAUUAACUUUUGAUAUCUUCAAAACCAGGCUGGUGACAUUCUUCAGACAAGAAGGAAGAUGAGAGGAUUGUGCAAGAGGCAGCCAAAUCAUUUAGUGCAUUAAGCAACAAUUGAAACUCCAGGACUCAUAUUCUAAUGAAGACUGAAGCAAUGGGAGAAUUGAUACAGCUGGAAGCUAAGGGUGCUCAGCUUUCCCUCUGGAGUGUGUUUGCAAUCUAGGCCUAGAAGCUCAUCUGUGCUGGGGACUCGGACAUGAGCCAGCUGGAAGUUGCCUGCGGUCAGUAGUCAAGGUGGCUGGAAUUCUGAAAUGCAAUAAUAUCACCACUUACAGAAAGAACUAAUGCAUUUUAUUAUUGAAAAUGAACACCCUUAACAUAUUUCUUAAGAAGAUGGCUGGCUCAGGACUCACAAAAACAAAUAACCACACAACAAAUAAAAACAAAAACAGACAAACAGAAAUAAAAAGAGAUUCAAAUGAACAAAGAAAGGUGGGAGAAUUAUGUCAAUAUACAGACAAAAAAAAAUUGUAAAGGAUAUUUUUAGAAGAUUUUAAGCCCAAACCAUGUAA